Molecule: ribosomal RNA, 909 nt
Filed under: uncultured bacterium
Lineage: Bacteria
Description: bacterial SSU rRNA
Rfam family: Bacterial small subunit ribosomal RNA
Source: RNAcentral
GAUCCUGGCUCAGAGUGAACGCUGGCGGCGUGCCUCAGGCAUGCAAGUCGAACGAGAAAGUUCCUUCGGGAAUGAGUACAGUGGCGCACGGGUGAGUAAUACCUAGGAAUGUACCUUUUCGCUGGGGAUAACUAAGGGAAACUUUAGCUAAUACCGAAUACCUCGCGUCGGCGAGAAAGCCGUAAGGCGCGAAAAGAGCAGCCUGGAUCCCAUUAGCUAGUUGGUAGGGUAACGGCCUACCAAGGCGACGAUGGGUAGCUGGUCUGAGAGGAUGAUCAGCCACACUGGUACUGGAACACGGACCAGACUCCUACGGGAGGCAGCAGCUGGGAAUUUUGCGCAAUGGGGGUAACCCUGACGCAGCAACGCCGCGUGAGUGAGGAAGGCCUUCGGGUCGUAAAGCUCUUUUAGCAGGGAAGAAAAAAAUGACGGUACCUGCAGAAAAAGCACCGGCUAACUCCGUGCCAGCAGCCGCGGUAAUACGGAGGGUGCGAGCGUUAUUCGGAUUCACUGGGCGUAAAGCGCACGUAGGCGGUUUGAUAAGUCUGAUGUGAAAGCCCUCGACUCAAUCGAGGAAGUGCAUUGGAUACUGUUGAACUGGAGUGUAGGAGAGGAAGAUGGAAUUCCCGGUGUAGAGGUGAAAUUCGUAGAUAUCGGGAGGAACAACAGUGGCGAAGGCGAUCUUCUGGUCUAUAACUGACGCUGAGGUGCGAAAGCAUGGGUAGCAAACAGGAUUAGAUACCCUGGUAGUCCAUGCCGUAAACGUUGAACACUAGGUUGUUGGGGGACCUUGUCCCUUCAGCGCCGCAGCUAACGCAUUAAGUGUUCCGCCUGGGGGAGUACGGUCGCAAGAUUAAAACUCAAAGAAAUUGACGGGGGCCCGCACAAGCGGUGGGGAGAUGUGGGUUU